CCGGCCGGUGGCGGCGGGGGGGCAGCGGUGAAGAUCUCCAGGUGGCGCCGGGAGAUGAAGCUGGAGUGGCCCAUGCUCACGUCCACCGAGCCCUGCGACGAGUUGCGGCCGAUGGUCACUGAGCGCUUCUUCAUCAGACAAGUACUAAAGCACAGAGGCCAGUGACUUGCUUGACCUUGCAACGACUGGAUGAGCUAAGACUCCCGUGCACCAAGAAAGGAGACAAGAUGCAACAGAAGCUGCUGGAGUCAGUAGAUACUGACCCUGUCAUGAGUGGGGCCAACAAAUAAAGGUAUCUUACAGAUUUCCUGAGGGAGCUGCAGGAGGAAGCAGAAUACUCUGGUAUCGCAGACUUGCACUGGCAGAUUCUGAUCAGUAUAACUGGCAUAGCCACUGAUGCCCCCUACGUAGACUGCUACUACUGGCACAGGGCCAUAAGCACAGCCUGGUGGGACAAUGUUAUCAUGCAGACCUGGAAGGACCAGCAGUGAGUCCAGAACUUUCGCAUGAAGAAAGCCACAUUUCCGGAGCUUUGUGAACAGCUCACCCCCAACCCUCCAAUGUGAAGAGAGACAUCUGAGGUCAUCCUUGCCAAUCCAGAAGCGGGUUGCUAUAACCAUCUGGAAGCUGGCUACUCCAGACUGCUACAAAUUCGUUGCCAACCAGUUUGGGGUUAGAAAGCUGACUGUUAGUAAAGUAGUGGCAGAGGCAACUGAGUGGCUUACCCCAAGGUGGCAUGCAUUAAAGAUAUUCCAGAGGUAAUUGCUGGCUUUGGGAGAAUGGGGUUUCCUAAUUGUGCUGGGGCCAUUAAUGGAACUCAUGUGCCCAUAGUGUACCCUCCUCAAGGAGCAUGAGUACCUAAACUGCAAAGGGUACUCAUUAGUUAUGCAGGCACUAGUGGACUAUAGAGGCAGAUUUCCGAAUGUCAGCGUUGUCUGUACUGGAAAAGUUUGUGAUGCCAGAGUUUCUUGCCACUUUAGAGUCUGUAUUCAUGGCCACACUGGGAUAUUAUUCCCACCAAAUGACAUUGACAGAAACGAUGUUGCUUUCACCAUUGCUAUUCUGGGGGACCCCACAUACUCCCUUUUGCUUUGGCAUUUGAAACCAUUUCAGAGACCCUGGCAAAAGGUUUAAUUGCACACUCCGCAUGUGUAGAAUGGUUGUUGAAUGUGCUUUUGGCAGAUUAAAAUCACAUUGGAGGUGUCUACAAUCUCAUUUGGAUGCCAGUGUCAUCAACAAUGUCAAUUACUGUGGCUUGCUGUGCUCUUCACAGCCUUUGCGAAACCUGAGGUGAGCUACUUCCCCCUGACUGGACCUCUGAUAGCUAGGGGAUACUGGAUCAGUACCCUCAACCAGAAAGUACAGGUACCACUGUGGGAGCUGGUUGCACCAGGCAGCAGAAGUCACAGAUGCUUUGUGUUCUCACUAAGUGAACUCGCAUGGCCCAAAGGAUGAGGAGGAAUAGUACCUUUAGGAAUGUGCUUGUGGGGAAAAAGUGGCUUAUUAAUUGUUUUGAGGGCGGGGGGCACCGCUUGGGAGGGGUGUAGGCUUGAUUCACAUGCAAUGCAAGUCUGAAUGACAUGAUGAAUAAUGAACUUGGUUGUGGAGGGAGACCAGAAUGGGUGUACAGCCAGUUUAUUGAAAUGUGAAUUGAUGUACCUUACCUAAAUAAAAGAAGCAUUGG
Mauremys reevesii (Reeves's turtle) is the source of this 1684-nucleotide long non-coding RNA. RefSeq lists it as uncharacterized. The record is from RefSeq and is a predicted model, not a curated record. The transcript has 4 exons. NCBI's taxonomy places the organism in Eukaryota, Metazoa, Chordata, Testudines, Geoemydidae.